RNAcentral lists this ribosomal RNA (1635 nucleotides) under Triticum aestivum (bread wheat). RNAcentral describes it as "partial small subunit ribosomal RNA". The record is from RNAcentral. Lineage: Eukaryota; Viridiplantae; Streptophyta; Magnoliopsida; Poales; Poaceae.
AUGAGAGCUUCUCCCCCCUCCUCCUCGCCGUGCCUUCAUGGCCACGGAGGCAAGGUGGCGUGUGCCGUGGCCGCCUGCCUCGCGCUCGUGACCUUCCUGGUGGUCGCCUUGGAUCCCAGGACCGGAGCUUCGUCCUGGUUCCUCUCUUCCUCGUCUUCCUUUCUCUCCUCCUUGAGGCCAACCGCGAGGGGUGGCAGCAAUGGGGGCGCCGCCCCUCUCUUCGCGACCUCCAGCUACGCUGCUGCCGGCGGCAAGAACAGCAGCGUCAAGGCGGUGCUCUUCCGGCAGCAAGACGCUGCCGGCGGCCACCCGGCCGUGGCUUCCGUCGUCAGCGUCGGCGACCCGCCGCCUCACGUCUCCGUCGCGCCGGCGCCGGCGCCGGCUCCGGAAAGUGGAUUUGACGAUGCUGCUAGCCCGGGCGGCACGGUUGAAGUAAGGGUGCCAUUAAUGCAGGGGAGGGUGGAUGUAAAACUGGAAAAGGUAGAACUUGGUCUCGCGAAAGCUCGUUUAGUGAUAAGGGAAGCUAUCCGAAACAAGGACAAGCGUCCUCCCCUAACCGACAGGGAUUAUGUGCCGGUUGGACCGGUGUACAGGAAUGCCUACGCAUUUCACAGGAGCUACUUGGAGAUGGAAAAGCUGUUCAAGGUGUACGUGUACGAAGAAGGCGAGCCACCGGUGUUCCACGACGGUCCGUGCCGCAGCAUAUAUUCAUCGGAGGGCAGAUUCAUAUUUGCCAUGGAGAUGGAGAACCGGAUGCGCACGAGGGACCCCGAGCUUGCCCAUGUCUUCUUCCUUCCCUUCAGUGUCGUCAAGAUGGUGAAGAUGAUCUACGAGCCCAACUCGCAUGACAUGGAGCCGCUGCGCCGGACUCUCUCGGACUACAUCGACGUUCUGUCCACCAAGUACCCGUACUGGAACAGGAGCCUCGGCGCCGACCAUUUCAUGCUCUCCUGCCACGACUGGGGGCCAUAUGUGUCGUCGGCGGACGGCCAUCUCUUCUCCAACUCCAUCCGCGUGCUGUGCAACGCCAACACCUCCGAGGGCUUCAACCCAUCCAAGGACGUGUCGCUGCCGGAGAUCAACCUCCGGACCGACAUCAUAGCUGAUCAGGUCGGCGGGCCAUCAGCGUCGCACCGCCCCAUCCUGGCCUUCUUCGCCGGCGGCGACCAUGGCCCCGUUCGGCCACUGCUCCUGCAGCACUGGAAGGGCAAGGACGCCGACGUGCAGGUGAGCGAGUACCUGCCCCGCGGCGUGUCGUACAUCAACGUGAUGCGGCGGAGCAAGUUCUGCCUGUGCCCCAGCGGCUACGAGGUGGCCAGCCCCAGGGUGGUGGAGGCCAUCUACCUCGAGUGCGUGCCGGUCGUCAUCGGCGACGACUACGUGCUGCCCUUCAGCGACGUGCUAAACUGGCCCGCCUUCUCCGUGCGGGUCGCCGUGGCGGACAUACCCAACCUCAAGACCAUCCUCGCCGCCGUGUCGCCGCGGCAGUACAUACGGAUGCAGCGCCGGGUGAGGACCGUGCGCCGGCACUUCAUGGUCAACGGCCCGCCGCGCCGGUUCGACGUCUUCCACAUGAUCCUCCACUCCAUCUGGCUCAGGAGGCUCAACGUCAGGCUCCAUGCGCAAGACUACUGA